GAGAAGCUUCGACUAAGGUUCGAUUCGAGCGCAGCGAGAAAGCGUUGCCGUAGGCAACGACCCGAAGGGCGAAGCGCGCAGCGCUGAGUAAUCCUUCCCCCGUCAUCC
RNAcentral lists this small RNA (108 nucleotides) under Salmonella enterica. RNAcentral describes it as "partial RtT sRNA". It matches the Rfam family "RtT RNA", at positions 24 to 130 of the family's 130-position model. From Rfam's summary of the family: This family represents a bacterial cis-regulatory element known as RtT RNA. The exact function of RtT is unknown although it is thought that it may be involved in changing the cellular response in relation to amino acid starvation. Lineage: Bacteria; Pseudomonadati; Pseudomonadota; Gammaproteobacteria; Enterobacterales; Enterobacteriaceae. The record is from RNAcentral.